This 253-nucleotide ribosomal RNA is filed under the name uncultured bacterium. RNAcentral describes it as "partial 16S ribosomal RNA". It matches the Rfam family "Bacterial small subunit ribosomal RNA", at positions 524 to 776 of the family's 1533-position model. The record is from RNAcentral.
UACGAAGGACCCGAGCGUUAUCCGGAUUUAUUGGGUUUAAAGGGUGCGUAGGCGGACUAUUAAGUCAGUGGUGAAAUCUCCUCGCUUAACGAGGAAACUGCCAUUGAUACUGAUGGUCUUGAGUACAACUGAUGUGGGCGGAAUAUGACAUGUAGCGGUGAAAUGCUUAGAUAUGUCAUAGAACACCGAUUGCGAAGGCAGCUCACAAAAUUGUUACUGACGCUGAGGCACGAAAGCGUGGGGAUCAAACAGG